RNAcentral lists this long non-coding RNA (1090 nucleotides) under Numida meleagris (helmeted guineafowl). Its description in RNAcentral is "lncRNA (ENSNMEG00000015143.1)". Lineage: Eukaryota; Metazoa; Chordata; Aves; Galliformes; Numididae. The record is from RNAcentral.
AUGUGGCACAUGGGGACGUGGUCAGCGGGCACGUCCCAUGGGAUGAGGUUGGGCUUGGGGAUCUUGGAGGUCUUCUCCAACCUCAGUGAUUCUACGAUUCUCUGUUUCUGUGAUGCUAUGCCCAUGUCACAGGCACCCCAUGCGACAGCCCCGUGGGUGCUUGCCUGGUGCGUGCGGACAGACAGAGCUGCUGGCCUCGGAACAGCUGCGUCCCCGAGUCACUUAUGGAACCAAGCCAAGAGCUGGGUGCAAAUCAGCACAGGACAACUUCUAAACAGGGACCUUGGAUGCGCUGAGCGAGAGAGCUCCCAUGGACACUUCAGCCUUCACACCCUAUACAUCACUAUGUGUAGAUCCUCAAUCCUCAAGUCAAUGUUCUGCACCUGUUCCACCCCAUUGGCAGCCUGUCUUCUGCUGUCUCCACUCACCGUCUCUUGUGCCCAUCCAGAGAGAAUUCCACAGAGAAAUGCACACGGGCAGUCUCAUAAAGCACAAGCAGUGUCAUCAGAGCUCUCCUGGCUCAAAAUGAAGAAACGAGAAGGUAAGAAGUAAACCAAUAGAGAAGAAGGGCGUGAAGUUCAACAGGCAGGAAAAAUGAAGGCAGACAAUGAGUUGUUUGUAUGUAGGUAGUAAAAGACCAAAAAAGUUACCAGUCUGUUUCUCAGCUUCCAGAAAACUGCUGAUGUCUUGGACAAAACACAUUAACUUCAGGUAUACUGGAGAUAAUCAGGAUUUUCAUUGCACCCUAAACGAAUAUAGAAAGCAAUAUAUAUAACAUACCCAGUAUCUAUAAAUACAUGUUUGCAGUAUCAUCACUGGAUCUCUGUAUACAGCCUUUGCCUCUAAUGAUCAGCUGCCACAAUAUAAAUAUCCAACAAUCCGGAAAGGUGCAUUUAUAUGCAUGGCUAUUGUAUACUAAUUAUUAGCACCACAUAUGCCAGAGAGGUUUAACUGUGUAAUAGAUAUAGAUCUAACUAAAUACCAUAGGUGUUAAAGCACAAGCAACACAUUUUUUGUUAAUCAAACGAUACUGAAUUAACAUACUGUACAAUAAUUGCCUUGUUAAAUUUAAAUUAAAACCUUAUUUGAG